UUGACCUCAAAUCGGGUGAGACUACCCGCUGAACUUAAGCAUAUCAAUAAGCGGAGGAAAAGAAACUAACAAGGAUUCCCCUAGUAACUGCGAGUGAAGCGGGAAAAGCUCAAAUUUAAAAUCUGGUGGUCUUUAGCCAUCCGAGUUGUAAUUUAGAGAAGCGUCUUCCGCG
This 172-nucleotide ribosomal RNA is filed under the name uncultured fungus. RNAcentral's name for it is "partial 28S ribosomal RNA". It matches the Rfam family "Eukaryotic large subunit ribosomal RNA", at positions 1 to 169 of the family's 3401-position model. The record is from RNAcentral. Lineage: Eukaryota; Fungi.